CCCACCUGCAGCCUGGUGGUGUCUCCCUUCCCCUGUGCCUUCCCUCUUUCCUGCUCAAUCUUUCUUUCCCUGGGUUGUCAAUUGUGUAAUAAAGAUUAUAAAAUCACUCUAUCCCAAUAAAUAGAGCUUCUAUCAGUCUUAUUGACUGAGGCACUGCAGAAUUCUCGGUUUGGAAGGGGAUUUUGCUGCUUAAAACGUUUCAAAAUCACGGCCAGAGGGAACCAGCAGCCCUUUUGUGGAGAGCAGAGCCAGCUCCUCUUGCACGUGAAUAAAGAACCAUAAAUGAGACACAGCACAUUUGGGCAAUCUUUUACAGUAGGCUUUAAAAAUCAUUUAAAAUACGUUUGUUUAAAAAAAAAAAAGUAAUUCAAAUCAAGCAUUUGCAACAUACCUAAGAGACCUCUACGGAGACUUAGCAUCUACAAAACCCAGUUUGGCAACUGCCAGCCCCAGGGAAUAAGUGAAGUUUCUCGGCACAAGUCACACAAUGUCCUCGCCAACCCACCUCUGCCUGCUCCCCAGGGCUCUCCUCCACCCCAGCCCUCUCUCUCCGUAAGGCCAGCGAGAGGCUCCGGGACUGCCCGCCCCAAAUCCUUUCCUCCUUUUCGGGAACAGCGAGAGUUCAAGAGAUGCGGUCACGUGAGGCCGUCCCGCCAAUCUGGUGUGAGCAGAGGCCCCUAUUGGCCCAGAGUGGAGCCGGGCGGGGGCGGAGCCGGGCGGGGGCGGGGCCGGGCCGGGCCGGGAGUGGAAGGAGCUGCGGCGAGGACAGAACCGCAGGCCGGGACCCCUACUGAAGACCCCUAUCUCCGCUAAUGAUCCACUGGCACACAGACCCCAGAUGAGGGAGAAACGAAGAUGAAAGUUUAACUAUUGUCUUUGUUCCAAGUUUCUUCCUGAGGGGCUGUGAGAAACUCACUCCCCCUAGCAAGUUAACAUUUUUCUACUGACCCCCUAAUUUUUAAAUAAAGCCUCUCUUCCUUACCAAUCGCAAAUCAGAAGAUCUUUGAAUCUACCCAUGACCUGUGAGCCCCCAUUCAAGAUGUCCC
RNAcentral lists this long non-coding RNA (1046 nucleotides) under Papio anubis (olive baboon). Its description in RNAcentral is "lncRNA (ENSPANG00000043485.1)". Lineage: Eukaryota; Metazoa; Chordata; Mammalia; Primates; Cercopithecidae. The record is from RNAcentral.